RNAcentral lists this ribosomal RNA (894 nucleotides) under Heterorhabditis bacteriophora. Its description in RNAcentral is "LSU rRNA". It matches the Rfam family "Eukaryotic large subunit ribosomal RNA", at positions 94 to 965 of the family's 3401-position model. The record is from RNAcentral. Lineage: Eukaryota; Metazoa; Nematoda; Chromadorea; Rhabditida; Heterorhabditidae.
UGAAAGGGGAAGAGCCCAGCGCUGAAUCUCUCGGUCUUGGGCCGCUGAGAACUGUAGCGUAUAGGUGUGACUGUCCUGCUAUAUUGCAUUUCCGAAGUCUCUUUGAUAGGGGCCAACAUCCAGAGAGGGUGCGAGACCUGUACGGAAAGUAGUAUAGUUGGUAUGGUUACUCCUUGGAGUCGGGUUGCUUGAAAGUGCAGCCUAAAGUUGGUGAUAAACUUCAUCUAAGGCUAAAUAUCGACGCGAAAUCGAUAGCAAACAAGUACCGUGAGGGAAAGUUGCAAAGAACUUUGAAGAGAGAGUUCAAGAGAACGUGAAAUCGCUGAAGUGGAACCGGAGAGAGUUAACAUAACUUGGUAGCUAUAUCCUCUAAAGUCGCUUAACUGUGGCUCUGGGGGGUGGACGCUACCUGUUGUUGCACUGACUGCGUUGAUUGUGCUUUCCGAACAGUAUAGUGUUGCCCACUUUGUGGUGUCUUGCUUUCUGGGAGGUUUGUCAUAAUUAACGUAAAGCCAAUUCCCUUUGGAGUCAGUGUGAAAGUUAACCACCUUUCCGACCCGUCUUGAAACACGGACCGAGGAGUGUAAUUUAUACGCGAGUCAAGGGGUGGUGAAAACCCUAGGGGCGGAAUGAAAGUAAAGGCCGGUUAACCGGUUGACAUGGGAUCCGCUCUUCGGAGCGGCGCACCAUGGCCCUGUCUUGUCUGCUUGCAGAUGGGCAGCGGUAGAGCGUAUAGUUUGCGACCCGAAAGAUGGUGAACUAUGCUUGAGCAGGACGAAGCCAGAGGAAACUCUGGUGGAAGUCCGUAUCGGUUCUGACGUGCAAAUCGAUCGAUAGACUUGGGUAUAGGGGCGAAAGACUAAUCGAACCGUCUAGUAGCUGGUUCCCUCCGAA